CGCCUGGCGAGUGAGAAGGGUGUGUGUGUGUGUGUGUGCGUGUGGGUGUGUGUUCCAGCAUCAGCGACGGCGGGCUCAUAUUCUACUACUACCCUCCCCGUUUUCCUUCACUCUCUAGUUUCGAUUUAGUUCGAAGUGUCGAAGGUUGGGAGAGUUAUAUUUAUUUCAGUUGGCGAACGCUGUUACCAUUAUAGAUAAAAAAAGGAUUAUUAUUUUUCUCGAGCAGCAUCAAGAAGAGUAGCCGUCCGUCUUGGAGGCCCUCUCAAGACAUCAGUAUUCACGCCCAGAUUACGCUAGUGCAGUGCUUUGCGGACGGUCCGAAGGAUUAUAUAUACCCUUUGUCGUGUGUCGUUUGAAGUUUGCGAAUCCUAACGCGAUUAUGAUGGAUUAACAGAAAGAUUCGGAUCUUUUUUUUGCGGCAGGCAGGAGGAAAUACUCGCAAGU
Macrobrachium nipponense is the source of this 444-nucleotide long non-coding RNA. RefSeq lists it as uncharacterized. The record is from RefSeq and is a predicted model, not a curated record. The transcript is spliced from 3 exons. NCBI's taxonomy places the organism in Eukaryota, Metazoa, Arthropoda, Malacostraca, Decapoda, Palaemonidae.